RNAcentral lists this ribosomal RNA (442 nucleotides) under uncultured bacterium. RNAcentral's name for it is "partial 16S ribosomal RNA". It matches the Rfam family "Bacterial small subunit ribosomal RNA", at positions 338 to 795 of the family's 1533-position model. The record is from RNAcentral.
CCUACGGGUGGCAGCAGUGGGGAAUAUUGGGCAAUGGUCGCAAGGCUGACCCAGCAACGCCGCGUGAAGGAAGAAGGCUUUCGGGUUGUAAACUUCUUUUGACAGGGAAGAGCAGAAGACGGUACCUGUCGAAUAAGCCACGGCUAAUUACGUGCAAGCCGCCGCGGUAAUACGGAGGUGGCAAGCGUUGUACGGAUUUACUGGGUGUUAAGGGUGUGUAGCCGGGCUGACAAGUAAGAUGUGAAAUCCGGGGGCUAAACCCCCGAACUGCAUUUGAAACUGUUGGUCUUGUGAAUCUGAGAGGCAGGCGGAAUUCCUAGUGUAGCGGUGAAAUGCGUAGAUAUUAGGAGGAACACCAGUGGCGAAGGCGGCCUGCUGGACGACAACUGACGGUGAGGCGCGAAAGCGUGGGGAGCAAACAGGAUUAGAUACCCGUGUAGUC